Molecule: long non-coding RNA, 1142 nt
Organism: Dicentrarchus labrax (European seabass)
Lineage: Eukaryota; Metazoa; Chordata; Actinopteri; Moronidae
Exons: 4
Source: RefSeq, a predicted model, not a curated record
CAUAGACCUGGAGACAGGUUAUAGCAGUGAGAGCACCAUCAGGGUAGGUGUUGAACAAACAGUGAUAGCAGCCUUCAUCCUGCUCUUUCAGGUUCCUGAUAACUAUGGAGUUGUUCUGCAGUCCAGCAUCUUUAAACUCCACUUUAUCAAUAAAGUCAGGAUUCACUCUUGGACCAAAGUGUUUGCUGGAAGUGGCAAGAGUCUUAUCUCCCUCAGGUUUCCACCAUGUGACUUGAACAACAUCUUUAUUUUGCAUCAGCUGACAGUUUAAAUGAGCCUCUUCUCCCACUGCUGCCAUCACAGUCUGCUGUGUCUGUACCAGAGCUGUUAGACCUGCAGGAGAGGAAGCAACAGAGAUGUUUCUUCAGCUGAGGACAGGAAGACAGCAGGUGAAGAAUACCUGCGACUGGUCAUCCUGCAGUGUGAGGCUGAACGUAGUCCACAAAUCCUCAUCACAUCUUCAGCGAAGGAAAACAGCUGCUUGUCCAGAUCAAUACACUCCAUGAGCUUUGUUUAAGGUCUGGAGAAGAGACUGUUUGUACGACGGCUCUUCAGAGGUUGAAAAUACGUUUCAGACCCUUUAAAAAGACUUUAACAGACCUCCACAGUCCACAGAGGAUGAACUCUUGGACCAAAGUGUUUGUUGUAGGAGGCAAGAGUCUUCUCUCCCUCAGGUUUCCACAAUGUGACUUGAACAACAUCUUUAUUUUGCAUCAGCUGACAGUUUAAAUGAGCCUCUUCUCCCACUGUACACUGUUAGACCUGCAGGAGAAGAGGGUUUCAGAGACAUUUGCAUUUAUUUUUGUCAAAUAUAAUAUAAUAUGAUAUAUAUCUUUAUAUAUAUAUAUAUAGUGUGAAUUUGAAGGAUAAAUCUGUUUUUCCUUCCUCAGUAUCCUGAUGUGAAAGCUAAAAGUUUAGAGGAGCUGUUAAACUUCAACAGCAGACAAACUCAGUGAUGUUAAUAUCUUUAAUGGGAACUGGCUGUCACUGAUCCCACAGUCAUUAUUUGAUUUAAGUGAAUGGUUAAUGCUCAAGGUCCAGAAUUUAAUUGCUAAAAUAUUCCAACAUUACAUGAACUAACAACAUCAGUCAACACUCAUCAUGUCUGAACAACAAUAAAGUAAUGAUGCAUUUGCCUCUGA